This 463-nucleotide ribosomal RNA is filed under the name Vreelandella stevensii. RNAcentral's name for it is "partial 16S ribosomal RNA". It matches the Rfam family "Bacterial small subunit ribosomal RNA", at positions 338 to 795 of the family's 1533-position model. The record is from RNAcentral. Lineage: Bacteria; Pseudomonadati; Pseudomonadota; Gammaproteobacteria; Oceanospirillales; Halomonadaceae.
CCUACGGGGGGCAGCAGUGGGGAAUAUUGGACAAUGGGCGAAAGCCUGAUCCAGCCAUGCCGCGUGUGUGAAGAAGGCCUUCGGGUUGUAAAGCACUUUCAGUGGGGAAGAAAGCCUUGGGGCUAAUACCCUCGAGGAAGGACAUCACCCACAGAAGAAGCACCGGCUAACUCCGUGCCAGCAGCCGCGGUAAUACGGAGGGUGCGAGCGUUAAUCGGAAUUACUGGGCGUAAAGCGCGCGUAGGCGGUCUGAUAAGCCGGUUGUGAAAGCCCCGGGCUCAACCUGGGAACGGCAUCCGGAACUGUCAGGCUAGAGUGCAGGAGAGGAAGGUAGAAUUCCCGGUGUAGCGGUGAAAUGCGUAGAGAUCGGGAGGAAUACCAGUGGCGAAGGCGGCCUUCUGGACUGACACUGACGCUGAGGUGCGAAAGCGUGGGUAGCAAACAGGAUUAGAUACCCGUAGUC